CCAAUAGCGUAUAUUAAAGUUGUUGCAGUUAAAAAGCUCGUAGUUGAACUUCGGGAUCAAUGAGUUGGUCGUGCCCUUGGUAUGAACUGGCUUUAUUGGUUCUCACCUUCUAAUGAACCAUAAUGUCAUUCAUUUGAUGUUUUGGGGAAUUAGGACUGUUACCUUGAAAAAAUUAGAGUGUUUAAAGCAGGCUCACGCUUGAAUACAUUAGCAUGGAAUAUUGAAAUAGGACAUCGCAUUCUAUUUUGUUGGUUUCUAGGAAUCGAUGUAAUGAUUAAUAGGGAUAGUUGGGGGCAUUAGUAUUCAAUUGUCAGAGGUGAAAUUCUUGGAUUUAUUGAAGACUAACUACUGCGAAAGCAUUUGCCAAGGAUGUUUUCAUUAAUCAAGAACGAAAGUUAGGGGAUCGAAGACGAUCAGAUACCGUCGUAGUCUUAACCAUAAACUAUGCCGACUAGGGAUCGGAUGAUGUUGAUUUUUUAAUGACUCAUUCGGCACCUUACG
RNAcentral lists this ribosomal RNA (501 nucleotides) under uncultured Glomeromycotina. RNAcentral's name for it is "partial small subunit ribosomal RNA". It matches the Rfam family "Eukaryotic small subunit ribosomal RNA", at positions 591 to 1092 of the family's 1831-position model. The record is from RNAcentral. Lineage: Eukaryota; Fungi; Glomeromycota.